GAUGAACGCUAGCGGCAGGCCUAACACAUGCAAGUCGAGGGGCAGCACAGGUAGCAAUACUGGGUGGCGACCGGCGGAUGGGUGCGUAACGCGUAUGCAACCUACCAUUGAUUGGGGCAUAGCCCGAAGAAAUUCGGAUUAAUACUCCAUAAUAUUCAUCAAAGGCAUCUUUUAUGAAUUAAAGCUUUUGCGAUCAAUGAUGGGCAUGCGUGACAUUAGUUAGUUGGUGAGGUAACGGCUCACCAAAACGAUGAUGUCUAGGGGUUCUGAGAGGAUUAUCCCCCACACUGGUACUGAGACACGGACCAGACUCCUACGGGAGGCAGCAGUGAGGAAUAUUGGUCAAUGGACGCAAGUCUGACCAGCCAUGCCGCGUGCAGGAUGACGGCCCUAUGGGUUGUAAACUGCUUUUCCACGGGAAGAACCCUCCGACGUGUCGGAGACUGACGGUACCGUGGAAUAAGCAUCGGCUAACUCCGUGCC
Molecule: ribosomal RNA, 483 nt
Filed under: uncultured bacterium
Lineage: Bacteria
Description: bacterial SSU rRNA
Rfam family: Bacterial small subunit ribosomal RNA
Source: RNAcentral